CCUACGGGGUGCUGCAGUGAGGAAUAUUGGUCAAUGGACGAGAGUCUGAACCAGCCAAGUAGCGUGAAGGAUGACUGCCCUAUGGGUUGUAAACUUCUUUUAUAAAGGAAUAAAACGAGGCACGUGUGCCUUUUUGCAUGUACUUUAUGAAUAAGGAUCGGCUAACUCCGUGCCAGCCGCCGCGGUAAUACGGAGGAUCCGAGCGUUAUCCGUAUUUAUUGGGUUUAAAGGGAGCGUAGAUGGGUUGUUAAGUCAGUUGUGAAAGUUUGCGGCUCAACCGUAAAAUUGCAAUUGAUACUGGCAGUCUUGAGUACAGUUGAGGUAGGCAGAAUACGUGGUGUAGCGGUGAAAUGCUUAGAUAUCACGAAGAACCCCGAUUGCGAAGGCAGCUUACUAAACUGUGACUGACAUUGAUGCUCGAAAGUGUGGGUAUCAAACAGGAUUAGAUACCCUAGUAGUC
Molecule: ribosomal RNA, 460 nt
Filed under: uncultured bacterium
Lineage: Bacteria
Description: partial 16S ribosomal RNA
Rfam family: Bacterial small subunit ribosomal RNA
Source: RNAcentral